This is a long non-coding RNA of Homo sapiens (human), 1737 nucleotides long. Ensembl annotates it as long intergenic non-protein coding RNA 1102. NCBI's taxonomy places the organism in Eukaryota, Metazoa, Chordata, Mammalia, Primates, Hominidae. The record is from Ensembl.
GUGCGCAGAGAUGUUAUUUAUUAAUGAGUUAACUUUCUGCAUUCUCAUCGUCUUUCCUUUCUAGAGGAUGCUGCAAGCCCAGGGAAUGAAGACAUUUGGAGAAGAAGCGUUUACUGAAAGGAGAUUCCUGGGCUGGAGGAAAACCAUGAUCUACAGUUCAUGUUGACAGAUAUUGUAUUUUUGGUCCUAGAUCUGACUUUUGAAAUGACUUAUCACAAAUUCAAAUUUAGCAAUCAUGAGUGAAGUACCCACGAUGUGCUAAGCAUCUACCUCUGCAGAUAGAAGAACACUUACUGUUCCUGAGCAUGGGAGGGAAUAGAAGUUCCUGGGUCCUGGCCUCACCUCAUCAGGCACUGCCAAAUUUGACACCUCCUUCCUGUUCACGGCAGUCCUUUGCGAUAGGGUAUUAGAUGCCACCAAGUAGCUGCAUAACUCACCCAUUUGGUCAGAGCCUGGGUCUAAGCCAGGUCUGACAGACUCCAAAGCAAGCCCUGUUUACAGCAUGACUGGGAUCCAGUGGACGAGGGAACUGAGCUGUCAAAACUAAGUGACUUGAUUGAGGCCAUGCAGCUGGCGAGGGGAGGACCAGGAUCUGAACCCAACUGGGUCUCCCAAGCCUGGGCCACUGAACCAUUUCACCUCUUGGAAAAACUUAAUGGUCAGAGUGGCCCACCCAGUCCAUGGACAGCAUGGAGUGGUAUGGUGGAAGAGGAGGGAAGAAAACCUGUGUAUUGUAAGUCAUAUUCUUCUAUGGUGUGAAGGUUAACGUAAGUUUUAAGAAAGUUUUUUUUUUUAAUUUUAUUAUAUGAUCUUGCUCUAAAGGGAUGUAAAUUCAGAUGCUGAAUUGCACACAUCCUUUCUCUUUCAUAUUUUCAAUAUUGAACGUAAUUUCAAUAUUUAACAUAAAACAAUGAGUACAUUGUCUCCACCUCAUUGUUUUUGGGUGGUGUUUGUGAGGAGCCUGCGUUCUUUGGAAGGAAGACCUUUCAGAUGACCUGACCAGUCCUCCUCUUCAGAACCCGGAUGCUGGCGAAGCAGUUUGAAUUUUAUGCUUGUGAAAGGGCUCCGUUGAUGAUUUUGAUGUCUGCAGCUUUCCACCCGUAUGACCAGACACAUUCUCACCAGCUCCAUAUAUCAAGAUAAGGAGGGGAAACCUGGUAGCUUUUCCUUCUGUUAACUGCUGGCAUCAGCUGAGUGAUGCAGACAUUUCUCUAUUAAGAACUGAGCUGAGACUGAAGCUUCAUUUUGUAUGAGACUGUGCAGAGGUCGUCUAAAGUCUCUCCCAGGUGUGGUUAUUAAGAUCCUGGAUUUGAAACUGUGACCUACUGGUUUGCCAGAUGCCAAGAACAAAUGCUCUGAAAUUGAUUUGCCAAAAGACAUGAUGAGCUGCUCUAACUUGCCUGGGAAGAGUGGAAUAUUUAACCUGUGGGUGAGACUCCCUCUUGCUACCUAUCAGCUUUGCCACUGCUCUGAUAGAGAAACAUCUUGGGAGCAGAGUUGGUAAGAGUGAAUCAGACGUAUCUGCCGGAAUAGGACUCGUGGCACCUGCUUGUUCGAUCCCUCAUUUCCACCCCCUCUAUCCUUUGCCUAUUGUCAGUCAUUGUGGUUGGUCCAUUCAGAAGAAUCGUGAAUAUUCAUAGCCACCCUAAUUUACCAAUAUAUAUUCAAUAAUGUCAGAGAUCUGUACAUGUGAUUCCUGAGCUUAUUACAGUAACAAGUUUCUCCAAUGCUACUGGG